UACGUAGGUGGCAAGCGUUGUCCGGAAUUAUUGGGCGCAAAGCGCGCGCAGGUGGUUUCUUAAGUCUGAUGUGAAAGCCCACGGCUCAACCGUGGAGGGUCAUUGGAAACUGGGGAACUUGAGUGCAGGAGAGAAGAGUGGAAUUCCACGUGUAGCGGUGAAAUGCGUAGAGAUGUGGAGGAACACCAGUGGCGAAGGCGACUCUUUGGCCUGUAACUGACACUGAGGCGCGAAAGCGUGGGGAGCAAACAGG
This 253-nucleotide ribosomal RNA is filed under the name uncultured bacterium. Its description in RNAcentral is "partial 16S ribosomal RNA". It matches the Rfam family "Bacterial small subunit ribosomal RNA", at positions 524 to 776 of the family's 1533-position model. The record is from RNAcentral.